This 592-nucleotide long non-coding RNA is filed under the name Parus major (Great Tit). Its description in RNAcentral is "lncRNA (ENSPMJG00000014435.1)". Lineage: Eukaryota; Metazoa; Chordata; Aves; Passeriformes; Paridae. The record is from RNAcentral.
CAAACACGACUCAGCCCAGGGCAAGCUGUUGAGAAGCCAUGGAGAUGUUCCGCCUCAUUUCAACAAUUAGUGGAUUAUCCUUAUGCCAUUUGAUUAUCUUUGUUAUAGCCUUGUGCGCUUUACUGAAGCCUAAUUCCCGCUGAUUUCAAUGGCAAAUAAGAGCACUCCCAGAUUUGGAUUUGCCAGCUGAAAUGUGAAGGUGACAUGGAGCAGAGGGGUGAUGAACAGCCCAACAAACCAGGGGUGAAGGCAGCAUCUUUCCCUGCAUGGCCCUUCCCAUAACAGGCUUCUGGGAGGAACACAAAGGCACUUCCAGAGAGAUUCCUGCUUUGCAGAGGAGACUUCUGAGCUGCUCAGAACAAGAGAAUUCUGGCAGAGGCAGAUCGUGCAAACCUCGAAUAUCUCCUAAAUUCUGUAGCUUCUACUCCAUCCCAGCAGGGGAGAGAUCAAAAUCUGGGUAUGCCCACACAGACUUUUGCCCUCACAGCCACAUUUUUUACAAGUGAUGGAGUACAUAUCAUUGCAUGGUGUUGCUGCUCAUGGGCUUCACAGGUAGGUUUUUAAAGUUAUUUUUGUGUUAGAAAUAACAACA